UAUUGUUCUUCAACGAGGAAUCCCUAGUAAGCACAAGUCAUUAGCUUGUGCUGAUUACGUCCCUGCCCUUUGUACACACCGCCCGUCGCUACUACCGAUUGAAUGGCUUAGUGAGGCCUUCGGAUUGGGAUUCGGAAACUGGCAACAGAUUCUUGAUUUUGAAAAGUUGGUCAAACUUGGUCAUUUAGAGGAAGUAAAAGUCGUAACAAGGUUUCCGUAGGUGAACCUGCGGAAGGAUCAUUAAUGAAUUUUUUAGCAUUACCUCGUUAGAGGUUUUGCGAAAAAAAAAGUAUUUAAAACCUCACUCUUUAUAAAAAAAAUAAAAUUUAUUGUAUGAUAAAUUAAGAUCACUUUCAACAACGGAUCUCUUGGUUCUCGCAUCGAUGAAGAACGUAGCGAAGUGCGAUAAGUAAUGUGAAUUGCAGAAUUCCGUGAAUCAUCGAAUUUUUGAACGCAAAUUGCACUCUCUGGUAUUCCAAGGGAGUAUGCCUGUUUGAGGGUUAAUUUAAUUAAAAUCGAUUGUGUUGCUUUUUUGUGGUAAUGCUUUCGGAAUUGAACCUUUCUUAACCUCCGGUUAAGUGGUUUAAAAUUUAUCUGGGCGAUUUUUAACGCGUACUUAAGACACGUUUUUUAUACGUUUUGAAACGCCGAACUUAUUAGAUAUGACCGGAUUUUUUCUUUCGGUUACAUGUCUAUAGCAUCAUUUCAUUUAUUGACCUCAAAUCAGGUAAGAUUACCCGCUGAACUUAAGCAUAUCAAUAAGCGGAGGAAAAGAAAAUAACAAUGAUUCCCUUAGUAACUGCGAGUGAAGGGGGAUAAGCUCAAAUUUAAAAUCUGUUAGGUUUUACCUGACCGAAUUGUAAUUUGAAGAAGCGUUUUCUGCGUGUUUGAUUAGCCUAAAUCCUUUGGGAUAAGGUAUUUAUGGAGGGGCGAGAAUCCCGUUCGGUUAAUCAUUGCGUUUUACGAUACGCUUUCAAAGAGUCAAGUUGUUUGGGAUUGCAGCUUAAAAUGGGAGGUAAAUUUCUCCUAAGGCUAAAUAUUGGCGAGAGACCGAUAGCGAACAAGUACCGUGAGGGAAAGAUGAAAAGCACUUUGAAAAGAGAGCUAAACAGCGCGUGAAAUUGUUGAAAGGGAAACGAUUGAAGUCAGUCGUACCGACGAGUAAUCAGCCUUUCGGGUGUGAUUUUACCGGACACGGAGAGCUUUACCGCAUUCGUGCUUGUAAAUUUGUGCCCUUUGGGUGUACUUUCUCGUAUGGUUAGUUAACAUCAAUUUUGAUCGUUAUAAAAUGACUGGAGUAAUGUAGCUUCGAUCUUGUAUUGAAGUGUUAUAGACUUUGGUAGAUGUAACGAUUGGGAUUGAGGAUUGCAACGAAUACCCUUCGGGCUAUCCGUCUGGCCUCUGAAAGUCGUCUUGGUGCCGAAAGCGUGCUUACGGUUAUCGAGGCUGACGGUCAAAAGGUUAGAACGCGAUUAAAUUCGUUAAGGAUGUUGACGUAAUGGCUUUAAACGACCCGUCUUGAGACACGGACCAAGGAGUCUAACAUAUAUGCGAGUGUU
RNAcentral lists this ribosomal RNA (1559 nucleotides) under Glomus sp. 27 ZHNL-2013a. RNAcentral describes it as "eukaryotic LSU rRNA". The stretch from base 714 to 1559 matches the Rfam family "Eukaryotic large subunit ribosomal RNA", at positions 1 to 694 of the family's 3401-position model. Lineage: Eukaryota; Fungi; Glomeromycota; Glomeromycetes; Glomerales; Glomeraceae. The record is from RNAcentral.